AUUGAACGCUGGCGGCAGGCUUAACACAUGCAAGUCGAGCGGGGUGAUGGUGCUUGCACUAUCACUUAGCGGCGGACGGGUGAGUAAUGCUUAGGAAUCUGCCUAUUAGUGGGGGACAACAUCUCGAAAGGGAUGCUAAUACCGCAUACGUCCUACGGGAGAAAGCAGGGGAUCACUUGUGACCUUGCGCUAAUAGAUGAGCCUAAGUCGGAUUAGCUAGUUGGUGGGGUAAAGGCCUACCAAGGCGACGAUCUGUAGCGGGUCUGAGAGGAUGAUCCGCCACACUGGGACGGGGACACGGCCCAGACUCCUACGGGAGGCAGCAGUGGGGAAUAUUGGACAAUGGGGGGAACCCUGAUCCAGCCAUGCCGCGUGUGUGAAGGAGGCCUUAUGGUUGUAAAGCACUUUAAGCGAGGAGGAGGCUCUUUUGGUUAAUACCCAAGAUGAGUGGACGUUACUCGCAGAAUAAGCACCGGCUAACUCUGUGCCAGCCGCCGCGGUAA
This 503-nucleotide ribosomal RNA is filed under the name uncultured bacterium. RNAcentral describes it as "partial 16S ribosomal RNA". It matches the Rfam family "Bacterial small subunit ribosomal RNA", at positions 30 to 523 of the family's 1533-position model. The record is from RNAcentral.